AUUGAACGCUGGCGGCAGGCCUAACACAUGCAAGUCGAGCGGAUGAAGGGAGCUUGCUCCUGGAUUCAGCGGCGGACGGGUGAGUAAUGCCUAGGAAUCUGCCUGGUAGUGGGGGAUAACGUCCGGAAACGGGCGCUAAUACCGCAUACGUCCUGAGGGAGAAAGUGGGGGGUCUUCGGACCUCACGCUAUCAGAUGAGCCUAGGUCGGAUUAGCUAGUUGGUGGGGUAAAGGCCUACCAAGCCGACGAUCCGUAACUGGUCUGAGAGGAUGAUCAGUCACACUGGAACUGAGACACGGACCAGACUCCUACGGGAGGGAGCAGUGGGGAAUAUUGGACAAUGGGCGAAAGCCUGAUCCAGCCAGGCCGCGUGUGUGAAGAAGGUCUUCGGAUUGUAAAGCACUUUAAGUUGGGAGGAAGGGCAGUAAGUUAAUACCUUGCUGUUUUGACGUUACCAACAGAAUAAGCACCGGCUAACUUCGUG
Molecule: ribosomal RNA, 484 nt
Filed under: uncultured bacterium
Lineage: Bacteria
Description: partial 16S ribosomal RNA
Rfam family: Bacterial small subunit ribosomal RNA
Source: RNAcentral